Molecule: ribosomal RNA, 439 nt
Filed under: uncultured bacterium
Lineage: Bacteria
Description: partial 16S ribosomal RNA
Rfam family: Bacterial small subunit ribosomal RNA
Source: RNAcentral
CUACAGGUCGCUGCAGUGGGGAAUAUUGCACAAUGGAGGAAACUCUGAUGCAGCAACGCCGCGUGGAGGAUGACACUUUUCGGAGCGUAAACUCCUUUUAUAUAGGAAGAAGAUGACGGUACUAUAUGAAUAAGCGCCGGCUAACUCCGUGCCAGCAGCCGCGGUAAUACGGAGGGCGCAAGCGUUACUCGGAAUCACUGGGCGUAAAGAGCGUGUAGGCGGAUUAAAAAGUCAGAAGUGAAAUCCUAUAGCUUAACUAUAGAACUGCUUCUGAAACUCUUAAUCUAGAAUAUGGGAGAGGUAGAUGGAAUUUCUGGUGUAGGGGUAAAAUCCGUAGAGAUCAGAAGGAAUACCGAUUGCGAAGGCGAUCUACUAGAACAUUAUUGACGCUGAGACGCGAAAGCGUGGGGAGCAAACAGGAUUAGAUACCCCGGUAGUC